CUUCACAAAAAGAGGAGGUUCGCUCCGUAUCCAUCCGUGACCUCUGCUGGCAAAGACCCCACUGUCACAAAUCCAGGAGACUCGGCCCACGAGGAACAUUCCUUCCUGCUCCACCAGCUUCUCUGUGGCCCUCGAUUGAGGAGGCCUCAGCCCUGCCCACAGGGCAGGACGGAGCACACCAGCAAUUAGCUGCCAAACAGGGAUGGAAGCAGAGCCCCUGGGGGCUGUGUUCACCAGUCUUUUGACCAUGUCAGGUUCCAUCAGCGUUGACUGAGCCCACUGGGAGAAAGCUCGGCUUCCUGGGUCUUUGCACAGCCGGUGACAUCUCUUGUAAUUUAGGUCCUGGUUCAAAUGCAACAAACUUCCUCAGAGAAGCCGUUCCUGGUCCCAUCAACCUGGCUACAGUCAUUUAUUCUUUAUCCCAUUAGUCUGUUUUAUUUCUUUCACAGCACUUCUCACAAGCUGAAAUCAUUUUGUCUUGUUUAUGGUAUUUGGUUUUAGAGCACAGGGACUUUGCCUCUCUGGUUCCCUGCCAUAUCCCUAACAUCUGCGUCCCUAGCAUUUAAAAGUAUAUUUGGCAUAUUUACCCAAAUGACUUGAAAAUUUAUAUCCACACAAGAGCCUGUCUGCAAAUGUUUAUGACAGGUUGUUUCAUAAUUGCCAAAAACUGGAGGCAACCAAGAUGUCCUUCCAUAGCUGCAAGGACAAAUUGUUGUGUCUUUGAGUACACAAUGGAAUAUUAUUCAGCUAUAAAAAGAAAUGAGCUAUCAAGUCAUGAAAAGAGGUAGAUGAAUCUUAAAGGCAGAUUGCUAAAUGGAAGAAGACAGUCUGAAAAGGCUACAUACUACAUGGUUCCAAUUAUAUGACAUUCUAGAAAAGGCAAAACUAUGGCAAUGGCAAAAAGAUUCGUGGUCGCCAGGAGCUCAGGGAGAAGUGGGGGCAGCUGAAUGGUUAAAGCACAGGGGAUUUUUUAGGGUGAUGAAACUAUUCUAUAUGGCACUGUAAGAGUGGAUACAUGACACCAUGUAUUUGUCAAAACACAUAGAACUUUACGACACAAAGAACAAAUCUUAAGUACGCAAAUUUUUUAAAAUAAUUUAAGAGACUGGGGAAUCCCAAAAUGGAAUGCAGAAUGUGACAAAACAAUGUAACUAUAUUAAAAAUGUAUGAAACAAGCCCACUGAAGGCGCUAUGGGGAAAAGGUGCUGACCUAAGUAACUGGAAGCCAGUAGAGUCUAAGUCUAAAUGCAAGGUGAACUGCACAUAAGCACUGCACUCUAGCUGAUUACGCUGUGUUCCGAGGGGUGUGUGUUAAUGAUUCUGACACUGCUAUACUUGUAUGCCACAAUCAAACAACUAAGUGAAUGGGUGGCAGGUGGUGGGAACCCCACGUGUCUCACUG
Vicugna pacos (alpaca) is the source of this 1402-nucleotide non-coding RNA. Lineage: Eukaryota; Metazoa; Chordata; Mammalia; Artiodactyla; Camelidae. The record is from RefSeq and is a predicted model, not a curated record.